This 479-nucleotide ribosomal RNA is filed under the name uncultured bacterium. RNAcentral's name for it is "SSU rRNA". It matches the Rfam family "Bacterial small subunit ribosomal RNA", at positions 26 to 518 of the family's 1533-position model. The record is from RNAcentral.
AGGACGAACGCUGGCGGCGUGCUUAACACAUGCAAGUCGAACGGAAAGGCCCUUUCGGGGGUACUCGAGUGGCGAACGGGUGAGUAACACGUGGGUGAUCUGCCCUGCACUUUGGGAUAAGCCUGGGAAACUGGGUCUAAUACCGAAUACACCUUGCUGGCUGCAUGGCUGGUGGGGGAAAGCUUUUGCGGUGUGGGAUGGGCCCGCGGCCUAUCAGCUUGUUGGUGGGGUGAUGGCCUACCAAGGCGACGACGGGUAGCCGGCCUGAGAGGGUGUCCGGCCACACUGGGACUGAGAUACGGCCCCAGACUCCUACGGGAGGCAGCAGUGGGGAAUAUUGCACAAUGGGCGCAAGCCUGAUGCAGCGACGCCGCGUGAGGGAUGACGGCCUUCGGGUUGUAAACCUCUUUCAGUAUCGACGAAGCGCAAGUGACGGUAGGUACAGAAGAAGCACCGGCCAACUACGUGCCAGCAGCCGC